Molecule: transfer RNA, 70 nt
Filed under: Phaeognathus hubrichti (Red Hills salamander)
Lineage: Eukaryota; Metazoa; Chordata; Amphibia; Caudata; Plethodontidae
Description: tRNA-Phe
Rfam family: tRNA
About the family: Transfer RNA (tRNA) molecules are approximately 80 nucleotides in length. Their secondary structure includes four short double-helical elements and three loops (D, anti-codon, and T loops).
Source: RNAcentral
GCUAGCGUAGCUUAAUAAUAAAGCGUGACACUGAAAAUGCCAAAAUAGACACUAAUAAAUCUCGCAAGCA